GGGUUGUGAGGUUAAGCGACUAAGCGUACACGGUGGAUGCCCUGGCAGUCAGAGGCGAUGAAGGACGUGCUAAUCUGCGAUAAGCGCCGGUAAGGUGAUAUGAACCGUUAUAACCGGCGAUACCCGAAUGGGGAAACCCAGUGUGACUCGUCACACUAUCAUUAACUGAAUCCAUAGGUUAAUGAGGCGAACCGGGGGAACUGAAACAUCUAAGUACCCCGAGGAAAAGAAAUCAACCGAGAUUCCCCCAGUAGCGGCGAGCGAACGGGGAGGAGCCCAGAGCCUGAAUCAGCAUGUGUGUUAGUGGAAGCGUCUGGAAAGGCGCGCGAUACAGGGUGACAGCCCCGUACACAAAAGCGCAUGUGCUGUGAGCUCGAUGAGUAGGGCGGGACACGUGGUAUCCUGUCUGAAUAUGGGGGGACCAUCCUCCAAGGCUAAAUACUCCUGACUGACCGAUAGUGAACCAGUACCGUGAGGGAAAGGCGAAAAGAACCCCGGCGAGGGGAGUGAAAAAGAACCUGAAACCGUGUACGUACAAGCAGUGGGAGCACCCUUUGGGGUGUGACUGCGUACCUUUUGUAUAAUGGGUCAGCGACUUAUAUUCUGUAGCAAGGUUAACCGAAUAGGGGAGCCGCAGGGAAACCGAGUCUUAAUUGGGCGUUAAGUUGCAGGGUAUAGACCCGAAACCCGGUGAUCUAGCCAUGGGCAGGUUGAAGGUUGGGUAACACUAACUGGAGGACCGAACCGACUAAUGUUGAAAAAUUAGCGGAUGACCUGUGGCUGGGGGUGAAAGGCCAAUCAAACCGGGAGAUAGCUGGUUCUCCCCGAAAGCUAUUUAGGUAGCGCCUCGUGAAUUCAUCUCCGGGGGUAGAGCACUGUUUCGGCUAGGGGGCCAUCCCGGCUUACCAACCCGAUGCAAACUGCGAAUACCGGAGAAUGUUAUCACGGGAGACACACGGCGGGUGCUAACGUCCGUCGUGAAGAGGGAAACAACCCAGACCGCCAGCUAAGGUCCCAAAGUCAUGGUUAAGUGGGAAACGAUGUGGGAAGGCCCAGACAGCCAGGAUGUUGGCUUAGAAGCAGCCAUCAUUUAAAGAAAGCGUAAUAGCUCACUGGUCGAGUCGGCCUGCGCGGAAGAUGUAACGGGGCUAAACCAUGCACCGAAGCUGCGGCAGCGA
Molecule: ribosomal RNA, 1178 nt
Filed under: Salmonella enterica subsp. enterica serovar Goldcoast
Lineage: Bacteria; Pseudomonadati; Pseudomonadota; Gammaproteobacteria; Enterobacterales; Enterobacteriaceae
Description: partial 23S ribosomal RNA
Rfam family: Bacterial large subunit ribosomal RNA
Source: RNAcentral